RNAcentral lists this ribosomal RNA (465 nucleotides) under uncultured bacterium. RNAcentral describes it as "partial 16S ribosomal RNA". It matches the Rfam family "Bacterial small subunit ribosomal RNA", at positions 28 to 507 of the family's 1533-position model. The record is from RNAcentral.
GACGAACGCUGGCGGCGCGCCUAACACAUGCAAGUCGAACGAGCGAGAGAGAGCUUGCUUUCUCGAGCGAGUGGCGAACGGGUGAGUAACGCGUGAGGAACCUGCCUCAAAGAGGGGGACAACAGUUGGAAACGACUGCUAAUACCGCAUAAGCCCACGACCCGGCAUCUGGUAGAGGGAAAAGGAGCAAUCCGCUUUGAGAUGGCCUCGCGUCCGAUUAGCUAGUUGGUGAGGUAACGGCCCACCAAGGCGACGAUGGUAGCCGGACUGAGAGGUUGAACGGCCACAUUGGGACUGAGACACGGCCCAGACUCCUACGGGAGGCAGCAGUGGGGAAUAUUGCACAAUGGGGGAAACCCUGAUGCAGCGACGCCGCGUGGAGGAAGAAGGUCUUCGGAUUGUAAACUCCUGUUGUUGAGGAAGAUAAUGACGGUACUCAACAAGGAAGUGACGGCUAACUACGUG